Molecule: ribosomal RNA, 673 nt
Filed under: uncultured bacterium
Lineage: Bacteria
Description: bacterial SSU rRNA
Rfam family: Bacterial small subunit ribosomal RNA
Source: RNAcentral
UAGAGUUUGAUCAUGGCUCAGGAUGAACGCUGGCGAGAUGCCUUAUACAUGCAAGUCGUACGAGAGUUUUUAACUCAAGUGGCGGACGGGUGAGUAACACGUAAGAAUUUGCCUUUAGGAGGGGGACAACAACUGGAAACGGUUGCUAAUACCCCAUAUGCUUUCGAGUGAAAUGGAUUUUUCCGCCUAGAGAGAAGCUUGCGGCUGAUUAGCUUGUUGGUGAGGUAAUGGCUUACCAAGGCGACGAUCAGUAUCUGGUUUGAGAGGACGAUCAGACACACUGGAACUGAGACACGGUCCAGACUCCUACGGGAGGCAGCAGUAGGGAAUUUUCCGCAAUGGGCGAAAGCCUGACGGAGCAAUCUCGCGUGAGGGAUGACGGCCUAUGGGUUGUAAACCUCUUUUUUCAGGGAGGAAUAAAUGACGUGUACCUGAAGAAUAAGCAUCGGCUAACUCCGUGCCAGCAGCCGCGGUAAGACGGAGGAUGCAAGUGUUAUCCGGAAUCACUGGGCGUAAAGCGUCUGUAGGUGGUUUAAUAAGUCAACUGUUAAAUCUUGAAGCUCAACUUCAAAAUCGCAGUCGAAACUAUUAGACUAGAGUAUAGUAGGGGUAAAGGGAAUUUCCAGUGGAGCGGUGAAAUGCGUAGAGAUUGGAAAGAACACCGAUGGCGAAG